This 253-nucleotide ribosomal RNA is filed under the name uncultured bacterium. Its description in RNAcentral is "partial 16S ribosomal RNA". It matches the Rfam family "Bacterial small subunit ribosomal RNA", at positions 524 to 776 of the family's 1533-position model. The record is from RNAcentral.
UACGGGGGGGGCAAGCGUUGUUCGGAAUUACUGGGCGUAAAGGGCGCGUAGGCGGCCUGCUAAGUCGGAUGUGAAAUCCCUCGGCUCAACCGAGGAACUGCAUCCGAUACUGGCGGGCUUGAAUCCGGGAGAGGGAUGCAGAAUUCCAGGUGUAGCGGUGAAAUGCGUAGAUAUCGAGAGGAACACCUGCGGCGAAGGCGGGUUGCUGGGCUGACACUGACGCUGAGGCGCGAAAGCCAGGGGAGCGAACGGG